AAACUGCUGAAAGUUCUUUCUACCGAGAAUGAAUAAUCCUCAACCAGGUUUUCGAAUACAAUGGUCUUUACUAACAAGUGUGAGUUUGCGCCUUUAUAACUAGGACCAGGACAACUUAACUCCUGUGUUUCUUUUCCUUUGGCGUAUAUACCUUUGUCAAAACUGUGAUCCCUGCUACUUGGGAGGCUGAGACACAAGAAUUGCUUGAAUCCAGGAGGCGGAGGUUGCAGUGAGCCAAGAUCAUGCCACUGAACUCCAGCCUGGGUGACAGAGCAAGAGUCUGUCUCAAAAAAAAAAAAAGAAAGAAAAAGAUAUUGCUUAGAAAAGUAACUUGAGUCCUGUUGAGCCUAAGUAAAGGACAAUAAUGGAAGUUUCUAGUCUGCAAAAUAUGAAGAUGCCCCUCAGAGACACAGCUGUGGGUGCCUCUCACAAGACAGAUGUUCAGGAAACCUGGGCUGUUGCUCUGGAAUUUUCAAUGAGUUAUUUUACUUGUCUUUGCCUCAGUUUACAGAAAAUAAACUGGCAACAAUAUCUCCUUGUUAUUGUGAGGAUAAAAUAAAAG
RNAcentral lists this long non-coding RNA (562 nucleotides) under Pan troglodytes (chimpanzee). Its description in RNAcentral is "lincRNA". Lineage: Eukaryota; Metazoa; Chordata; Mammalia; Primates; Hominidae. The record is from RNAcentral.